GAUGAAGAACGUAGCGAAAUGCGAUAAGUAAUGUGAAUUGCAGAAUUCAGUGAAUCAUCGAAUCUUUGAACGCUCAUUGCGACCGCCAGUAUUCUGGCGGGCAUGCCUGUUCGAGCGUCAUUUCAACCAUCAAGCCCCAGGCUUGUGUUGGGGACCUGCGGCUGCCGCAGGCCCUGAAAACCAGUGGCGGGCUCGCUGUCACACCGGGCGUAGUAGAUUUUAUCUCGCUCAGGGCGUGCUGCGGGUUCCGGCCGUUAAAAAGCCUUUUUUACCCAAGGUUGACCUCGGAUCAGGUAGGAAGACCCGCUGAACUUAAGCAUAUCAAUAAGCGGAGGA
RNAcentral lists this unclassified non-coding RNA (336 nucleotides) under soil metagenome. RNAcentral describes it as "partial contains 5.8S ribosomal RNA, internal transcribed spacer 2, and large subunit ribosomal RNA". The stretch from base 1 to 120 matches the Rfam family "5.8S ribosomal RNA", at positions 35 to 154 of the family's 154-position model. The record is from RNAcentral.